CUUGGUGCUGUCAGUGGGUGCGA
Molecule: microRNA, 23 nt
Filed under: Eptesicus fuscus (big brown bat)
Lineage: Eukaryota; Metazoa; Chordata; Mammalia; Chiroptera; Vespertilionidae
Description: efu-miR-9198b
Source: miRBase by way of RNAcentral